UACGUAGGGGGCUAGCGUUGUCCGGAUUUAUUGGGCGUAAAGAGCGUGUAGGCGGCCAAGUAGGUCCGGUGUGAAAACUCGAGGCUUAACCUCGAGAUGUCAUCGGAAACCAUUUGGCUAGAGUCCGGAAGAGGAAAGUGGAAUUCCUGGUGUAGCGGUGAAAUGCGUAGAUAUCUGGAGGAACACCGGUGGCGAAGGCGGCAUCCUGGACCGGUAUUGACGCUGAGGAGCGAAAGCCAGGGGAGCAAACGGG
RNAcentral lists this ribosomal RNA (253 nucleotides) under uncultured bacterium. Its description in RNAcentral is "partial 16S ribosomal RNA". It matches the Rfam family "Bacterial small subunit ribosomal RNA", at positions 524 to 776 of the family's 1533-position model. The record is from RNAcentral.